UGGCUCAGUGGUAGAGUGCUUGCCUUGCAUGCAUGAGGCCCUGGGUUCGAUUCCUAC
This 57-nucleotide transfer RNA is filed under the name Dipodomys ordii (Ord's kangaroo rat). It matches the Rfam family "tRNA", at positions 8 to 63 of the family's 71-position model. Rfam says of the family: Transfer RNA (tRNA) molecules are approximately 80 nucleotides in length. The record is from Rfam by way of RNAcentral. Lineage: Eukaryota; Metazoa; Chordata; Mammalia; Rodentia; Heteromyidae.